This 429-nucleotide ribosomal RNA is filed under the name Verrucomicrobiota bacterium. RNAcentral's name for it is "Verrucomicrobia bacterium partial 16S ribosomal RNA". It matches the Rfam family "Bacterial small subunit ribosomal RNA", at positions 355 to 776 of the family's 1533-position model. Lineage: Bacteria; Pseudomonadati; Verrucomicrobiota. The record is from RNAcentral.
UAGGGAAUCUUCGGCAAUGGGGGGAACCCUGACCGAGCAACGCCGCGUGAGUGAAGAAGGUUUUCGGAUCGUAAAGCUCUGUUGUUAAGGAAGAACGAGUGUGAGAAUGGAAAGUUCAUGCUGUGACGGUACUUAACCAGAAAGGGACGGCUAACUACGUGCCAGCAGCCGCGGUAAUACGUAGGUCCCGAGCGUUGUCCGGAUUUAUUGGGCGUAAAGCGAGCGCAGGCGGUUAGAAAAGUCUGAAGUGAAAGGCAGUGGCUCAACCAUUGUAGGCUUUGGAAACUGUUUAACUUGAGUGCAGAAGGGGAGAGUGGCAUUCCAUGUGUAGCGGUGAAAUGCGUAGAUAUAUGGAGGGACACCGGUGGCGAAAGCGGCUCUCUGGUCUGUAACUGACGCUGAGGCUCGAAAGCGUGGGGAGCGAACAGG